Molecule: ribosomal RNA, 198 nt
Filed under: uncultured bacterium
Lineage: Bacteria
Description: partial 16S ribosomal RNA
Rfam family: Bacterial small subunit ribosomal RNA
Source: RNAcentral
ACGCUCGACACCUACGGGAGUCAGCAGUGGGGAAUAUUGCACAAUGGGGGAAACCCUGAUGCAGCGACGCCGCGUGGAGGAAGAAGGUCUUCGGAUUGUAAACUCCUGUUGUUGGGGAAAAAGNGGAUGGUACCCAACAAGGAAGUGACGGCUAACUACGUGCCGGCAGCCGCGGUAAUCUGAGCGGGCUGGCAAGGC